This is a non-coding RNA of Moorella sp. 60_41, 266 nucleotides long. Lineage: Bacteria; Bacillati; Bacillota; Clostridia; Neomoorellales; Neomoorellaceae. The record is from Rfam.
CCGUGCUAGACGGGGAGGUAGCGGUGCCCUGUAACCCGCAAUCCGCUAUAGCGGGGUCGAAGUCCCACUGGCGGGCCGGGUCUGUGGGGACUGCCCGGCGUAAGGGGCGAGGACAGCCGGGUCCUGCGCGGCGAGAACUCAUGAACCCCGUCAGGUCCGGAAGGAAGCAGCGGUAAGUGAGCCCUCUCGGGUGCCGCAGGAGUGCCUGGCUGGAGUUACCUGCUCCGGUCACGCCCGGAGGCUGCGGUUCAACAGUGGGUGCACGG